RNAcentral lists this microRNA precursor (92 nucleotides) under Gorilla gorilla gorilla (western lowland gorilla). RNAcentral's name for it is "miRNA (ENSGGOG00000037159.1)". Lineage: Eukaryota; Metazoa; Chordata; Mammalia; Primates; Hominidae. The record is from RNAcentral.
AAGGUAUUAGGUAGGUGCAAAAGUAAUUGCAGUUUUUGCCAUUACUUUUAAUGGUAAAAACUGCAAUUACUUUUACACCAACCUAAUAUUUA